GAGGGUAUAGCUCAGUGGCAGAGUGUCUGCCUAACAUUUAUGAGGUCCUGGGUUCAAUCUCUAGUACCUCCA
RNAcentral lists this transfer RNA (72 nucleotides) under Camelus bactrianus (Bactrian camel). It matches the Rfam family "tRNA". Rfam says of the family: Transfer RNA (tRNA) molecules are approximately 80 nucleotides in length. Their secondary structure includes four short double-helical elements and three loops (D, anti-codon, and T loops). Further hydrogen bonds mediate the characteristic L-shaped molecular structure. tRNAs have two regions of fundamental functional importance: the anti-codon, which is responsible for specific mRNA codon recognition, and the 3' end, to which the tRNAs corresponding amino acid is attached (by aminoacyl-tRNA synthetases). tRNAs cope with the degeneracy of the genetic code in two manners: having more than one tRNA (with a specific anti-codon) for a particular amino acid; and 'wobble' base-pairing, i.e. permitting non-standard base-pairing at the 3rd anti-codon position. RNAcentral also lists the same sequence under 2 other names. Lineage: Eukaryota; Metazoa; Chordata; Mammalia; Artiodactyla; Camelidae. The record is from Rfam by way of RNAcentral.